Molecule: ribosomal RNA, 253 nt
Filed under: uncultured bacterium
Lineage: Bacteria
Description: partial 16S ribosomal RNA
Rfam family: Bacterial small subunit ribosomal RNA
Source: RNAcentral
UACGGGGGGGGCAAGCGUUGUUCGGAAUUACUGGGCGUAAAGGGCUCGUAGGCGGCCAACUAAGCCCGACGUGAAAUCCCCAGGCUUAACCUGGGAACUGCGUCGGAUACUGGAUGGCUUGAAUCCGGGAGAGGGAUGCGGAAUUCCAGGUGUAGCGGUGAAAUGCGUAGAUAUCUGGAGGAACACCGGUGGCGAAGGCGGCAUCCUGGACCGGCAUUGACGCUGAGGAGCGAAAGCCAGGGGAGCAAACGGG